This 3998-nucleotide long non-coding RNA is filed under the name Helianthus annuus (common sunflower). The record is from RNAcentral. Lineage: Eukaryota; Viridiplantae; Streptophyta; Magnoliopsida; Asterales; Asteraceae.
UUCCUUCUCUCUCACAACUCCAGAUGUCUCACAAAACUCCAGAUCUUCUCUCUCUCACUCUCUCUCCUUCUCUCGCUCUACGACUCAAGAACAUCAUGCCAGAUCUCUCAUCAGAUGCCGAAUCUUGAAAAUCUUUGUUAUUACAAUUUUCUGUAAUCAUUGUGACCACUACCGGUUGUAAUGUAGUGGUUCCGACACCUGAGCUCUGGUGGAGGAGACUAGGGUUUCGGCGAAGAUAAAGCCAUCGGAGGCUAAACAACUCAAAAAGGCUGCUUAAUUUGGUUUUUUGUCACCUGAAACCCUAAUUCAUUCAUUGGAGGAAACUGCAGGUGUUGUGUCUGAAGGUGGUAGGGGCCUGAGCAUUUGGGAUGUUUUCUGCCUCACAAAUCCAGGUUUGUCUUCUUCACCAUGAGCACAUACAGUAAGGUGUGUUAAAUAGGUAGUGUUUGCCGGUUGACGGCUCCAACCCGACACUAACCUGAAUACGACAAACCUUGGUUUAAAACCUUGGUUUAAAAAGCGGGAAGAACACAAAAGCAAUGAGGUCUAAAAUUAUUUAUUGGAUUAUUUUGAAUUUAAUGUUAGGUGACUGAUGCGAUUGAGAUGUUGGUCCGUAUGUUACAUAGAGUUUAAGUAGAGGGUAAUAUAUACUUAUCUUUGCUGCAAUAGAUUGUUAAUGUUUAAUAAUUUGAAUUACAAUCUCUAUAUUCUCAAUGUAGAUCAGAUCCACCAUCCAAUGUGCCUAAAAAAGCUUCUAAAGUGAUAAAUCCUAGAUGAAGCUUCGAGGAAAGAAUAUCUGGUCAAUAAAGCUCUUUCUCAGAUUUUAUAGUUGUUUUUAGAGAGCUUGAAAAUAAAUGUGUUUUGUUUUCAUAUAGGAAAGAAAAUACCUGAAUCAAAGAAUUGUUUGAAAAUAUUGAAAAGUUGGGGUAAAGUUUGAUUCAAUUGAAAGGCUGAAUCUUGGAAUGGAGAAUCCUGAUGGGAAUUUGUAAACUUUGAAGUUAUUUUAACAAAAAAAACCUUUUUUAAACCAACCCGACCCGAAACCCACUCCGGCCCGAACCCAUUCUGACCUGAACCCAUCCCGACCCUAACCCAUUCCGACCCGCCACCCAAUCCGACCCGAAUCAAAGAUUCGCUACCUUUUUUGGAUGAUUCCAUGUCGGAUCUGUGUAAUACUUUCAGAAUGUUGAAUUUGAUUUAUGUGAAGGUGUUUUGUUGUUCGUUGUUUCUUCGAAUCUCCAUUUGUUGUUUUAUUUUUCUUCGAAGCUCCAUGUGCGGAUGUUAAGUUGACUGAACAAAAUAACGACUCAACGGUAAGAUUAUUGAGCAGAUCGGUUGCAACUGAGACGAGAUCCUUUAGCAGUACAUGGCUGUCAAGGUUGGUUCCGACAACUCGAUUCCGAUUUAGCGGCCGCAUGUAUAUUUUUCCAGAACAAAGGUACGUCUGGGAUGACAGCCGUGAUGACCCCUGUUCUUAAAGUCAAGCUUUCAACUAUUCAGUCAAAGGCAACAUCUUUGAUUCUGCCCAGAUUAGAAUUAGUUUAUGUAGUUCUCAUGAUAUUUACUCUUUUUAGGUACUUUUCGUUUUCUUAAUGUAACUGUAUUACACGUGGUGGUGUACUUGCAGCAGUGGUCUGCAAUCAAGGUCAUUGCACCCUAUGUGGUUAUCCAAUGGAAACCUUAUUGAGAAAGGAGACCUAGAGGUGAAAAUCUUUUGUGUAUGGUUGCUGCUAUGAAGAAAAUGAAAGAUCUUGGAAAUGUUUGCAUGGAACAAGCAGCAGAGAUUGAGAAGUUAAAUAAUCUGGGAACAGAUAUUUGAGAGGGUGACAAAGAACCUAAAAGUGGCCCGAGUGUUUACAACUUUGGUGGAGGAGAUGAAGGCGUCAAGGCGUCAAGGUGACAUGGGGGCUGGAAAGAGCACAGCUCUAAAGGACAUUCUUCAAGAGUAAGUCGUUAAGUAUAUUAUACAAAUGACUCCCUCGAGGUAAGUUGAACGGGUUAGAUAAUAGGUCAAAACAGAUAUAUAUAAAAAAUAACGAGUAGGAUAUGCUUAAAAAAACAAUAUUAAUAUUUUAUUAAUCCAAAUCUUUGAAUUAAACAACUUAAAGGUUUUUCACAUAAAAAAUAGAAUUGAGCUACUUUCAAUGUGUUUAAUACUUUCAACCCAUUUGACCCACAUGCAAGGCGGUUUCAGUUUAGAAAAUAAUAAGAAUUAUGGCGUUAAAAUAUUGAUUUUUGUUAGAUUUUAAAAGUGUAAGGUUACAUUUGUUACAAAUAAAAGGUUUUUAAGAGUUAUAAUGUGGCUUUGAAUGUACACAGACCAGUUUGGGCAGGAGCAUCAGCAAAUGCAGUUGUAAUAGAAGCUUGGGUUUGGCCUAAACGGGUUUGGGCAGGAGCAUCAGCAUCAGCAAAUGCAGUUUUAUCUCAAAACUAUACGUCUAUAUAACAUUCUUCUUUUCUUUUGAGACCGAAACACAAUUAAUAAUUUUUCUUUCUAUUUUAAACGACAGAUGCAGACAUGGGAAUUAUCUAAUAUCAAACACCUGCUUGAGUUUCUCAGAUUAUAAAAAAACAAAUACCAAAUAGAUAACAGACAUCACUAUAUAUUUCUGGUUGAUUGCUUUUAACCACAAUACCUACUAUUAAUCCAAUUGUUUUGACCCAAAUAGUCAGAAUAUCAAAUUCGGAAAGUUUUUCCCAAUAAGAUACAUUGAAUUUUGACUUAUUGACGCAAUAAUCACUUUAGGCCAGUAGCCAAACAACCCCUAAUAAGGGUAGCUGGAUACAGUGUGUAUCAACCUUUAAAUAGUUGAAUUUGCUGCCAUAUGAUAUGUAGAUAUAUUCAUUUUUCAUUUAAAUAGUUGAAUUUGCUGCAAUAUGAUAUGCUGAUAUAUUCAUUUUUCAUUAGAAAGGGAAGAUCAUGAGUGUUGCCAUAGUUCCAUGUGUUAUCACAGUUGGAUGUAUGUAUCCACGCAUUCUUCGCUGAUCUUCGUGAUCCAAAUACUCGCCUACUAGGUGGACGAUCUUUGCCACCACUCUUUAAUUUCAAGCCUCAAGGUACUUGUUGAAGGCAACCAUGGAUGGCGACGACAUCGGGUUUUAGGCGAAACAAAUUGCAAGUGAUGAUGGGAAAAUGGGCUGGUUGGGCUGAUGGAUUUUGUGCGGGCCGAAACAGGCCUGGUUAGGUUGAUCCAAGACAGUUGUUCAACAUAUUUAUCUUUUUAAUAAAUAAUUAGUUUAAGAUAUGAUCACAUAUAUUCCCUGAGCUAAAUUUUCGAAUGAAAUAAUUAAAAGAGAUUUUAGCAUUAAAAAUGGAAGUUGGACGGUUGUUGACCCGUUUGAUUAUUUGAUCCAUUUCUUUUAAAGCUAUUUUAUAUGAAUUUUACCUGUUAGAAAUACGACAUAAUCUCUAAUAAAAGUGGUAAAGGGGCACUUCUUUUUUUGGAUUUUAGGCAAGAAAUUGAGAGAAUAUGAUGAAUGAUAUGAAGUAAGAGGUCAAGGGUGCUGGUCUAAAGAAUUUAAAGACUAUAAUUUAGUUUAUAAUUCAGGAAGUCAAAGUUGCGUUGAAGUUUAUAAUUCGGUUUGGAUUUAAAGUUGAGGUGAGGUUAGAUUGAAAGUUGGUGUUAAAUCGGUUUUGGUUAAGGAUGGUGUCAAUGCUGCCAAAAAGAUUAGGUUUAAGACUGUUGCCUUGAAGACCAUUAAUUGGGCUUGGCGUGUUAUGGCUGCAACUAUAGAAAUGGAUAUGCAGAUUGAAGAUGAGGCUGCCACUUGCUGUUAUUUCUGUCUUUGUUUUGAGUAUUAUGUUUACGUUUUUCAUUAAAAUCAAGUUGUGAACCCAAUUGGCAUAUCUUUUUGUAUUGCUAUAUCGAAUGUUGGUGUCGUACCAUUACUGGAAUGAACCAAAACGAUACAGGCGUACUAUACAAAAAAUUACAAAGCGAUUGAUAAACUAACUAUGAACAACAACCGGGUUGUAAAUUGUCAUCGCCGCUGCAUCG